GAUGAACGCUAGCGGCAGGCCUAACACAUGCAAGUCGAGGGAAAGGCCGUCGGGCUAAGACCGGCGCACGGGGGCGUAACGCGGAUACAAACUGCCUGUUAUCCUGCGGAUAGCCCGGAGAAAUUUGGAUUAAUACGCUAUGGUUUAAGAGCACGGCAUCGAGCCGUUAUUAACGCUACGGAGGUAAAAGUUGAUUAUCCGUUCUAUUAGCUGGUUGGAGAGGUAACGGCUACCCAAGGCGACGAUACAUAGGGGGUCUGGGAGGGAGGUCCCCCACACCUGUGCUGAGAUCCGGACCAGAAUCCUACGGGAGGCAGCAGUAAGGAAUAUUGGGCAAUGGUCGGAAGACUGAUCCAGCCAUGCCACGUGCAGAAUGACGGCCUUAUGGGUACUAAACUGCUUUUGUAAGGGAAGAAUAAGGAGUACGAGUACUUUGAUGACGGUACCUUACGAAUAAGCAUCGGCUAACUCCGUG
This 475-nucleotide ribosomal RNA is filed under the name uncultured bacterium. RNAcentral's name for it is "partial 16S ribosomal RNA". It matches the Rfam family "Bacterial small subunit ribosomal RNA", at positions 28 to 507 of the family's 1533-position model. The record is from RNAcentral.